AAGGUGCGCGUGCUCGCUGGUCCUAACGGUUCUGUUGGGCGUUUCUGCUGAGAGGCGGGAGGGGCUGAGAGUCUGUGCGAAGGUAGGUGGACAGACUGCAUUGCUUGUUGUUGCGCUUCGGAGGCGGCGAUCCCCGAAGGCGAGCUGAAAUACGGCUGGAGCGUUCCCAGGCUACAGUUUGUAGCCGACGAUUGUGGAAGACUAGGAGCCGGAGAGGUGGCCCACCCUCAGGGAGCGCUUGUGCUCGGAGGGCUUCUCAUUUCCCCAAUACCACAUUAAAUCGUCUCAUCUGAGGAGGAUCCACAGAGCUGUCUUCUAUGGUAAUCUGGAGAAACUGGAGUACCUUCUGCUCACGUAUCAUGACACCAAUGAGAGAGACAAGGAGGAAAGCAUCCGGUGAAAGACAGAGAUCACAUUUCAACUAGAUUCUUAGGAAGUAUGGAUUCACUAACUUCAGCGAAGCUUACCCUGAAAGAAGCAGAUCCCAGUUCAAAAGUAGCCAUAAGAAGGAAGGAUUCACCACCUCCAGGAAAAGGUUGCCUGUUCACUCUGAUCGUAGUAUUGGAAGUUCUGGCCAAGGCAAUCAGACAAGAGGAAAAAAUAAAGGGUAUUCAAAUAGGAAGAAAGGAAGUCAAAUUGUCUCUGCAGAUGACAUGAUUGUAUAUUUAGGAAACCAAAUCGUCUCAGCCCCAAAUCUCCUUCAGCUGAUAAGCAACAUCAGCAAAGUCUCAGGAUACAAAAUCAGUGUGCAAAAAUCACAAGCAUUCCUAUACACCAAUAAAAGACAAACAGCCAAAUCAUGAGUGAAUGCCCAUUCACAAUUGCUGCAAAGAGAAUAAAAUACCUAGGAAUACGACUCACAAAGGAUGGGAAAGACCUCUUCAAGGAGAACGACAAACCACUGCUCAAGGAUAUAAGAGAGGACACAAACAAAUGGAAAAACAUUCCAUGCUCAUGGACAGGAAGAAUCAAUAUCACGAAAAUGGCCAUACUGCCCAAAGUAAUUUAUAGGUUCAGUGCUAUAGACUACCAUUGACUUUCUUCACAGAAUUAGAAAGAACUACUGGAAAUUUCAUAUGCAACCAAAAAAGAGCCCAUAUAGCCAAGACAAUCCUAAGCAAAAAGAACAGAGCUGGAGGCAUCACGCUACCUGACUUCAAACUAUACUACAAGGCUAUAGUAAUGAAAACAGCAUGGUACGGGUACCAAAACAGGGAUAUAGACCAAUGGAACAGAACAGAGGCCUCAGAAGUAACACCAUACAUCUACAACCAUAUGAUCUUUGACAAACCUGACAAAAAACAAUCAAUGGGGAUAAGAUUACCUAUUUACUAAAUGGUGUUGGGAAAACUGGCUAGCCUUAUGCGGGAAACUGAAACUGGACCCUUUCCUUACACCUUAUACAAAAAUUAACUCAAGAUAAAUUAAAGACUUAAACGUUUAAGUAAGACCUAAAACCAUAAUAACCCUAGAAGAAAACCUAGGCAAUACCAUUCAGGACAUUGGCAUGGGCAAAGACUUCAAGACUAAAACACCAAAAGCAAUGGCAACAAAAGCCAGAAUUGACAAAUGGGAUCUAAUUAAACUAAGGAACUUGUGCAGUUUUAUUUGGGAGUGUGCAUGAGGUACCUCUGAGUUUUAAAAAUGAAGAAAGUAAGUGGUCAUGCUUUCCUGACUCUUUGGUAGACACAGCCUUUUAAGACGGUGAUUCUGAGCUGUUAUGGUUUUGGGUUUUCUAUAAUACUAAAGCUUACUGCCGACAUGUAACCAAAAGCUUGAAUUAAUGAAAAAAAAAUUACCCAAAUGCACGUUAAAAACCUCUUACAACAUAUGUGCACAUUCAUAGAUAACAUGUAGAACUUUAUUUUGUGUUAAAAAGCUUGUAGAAAAGUUCAGGCA
Homo sapiens (human) is the source of this 1899-nucleotide long non-coding RNA. Ensembl annotates it as ankyrin repeat domain 36B pseudogene 2. Its record names the gene ANKRD36BP2. The record is from Ensembl. Lineage: Eukaryota; Metazoa; Chordata; Mammalia; Primates; Hominidae.